GACGAACGCUGGCGGCGUGCCUAAUACAUGUAAGUCGAGCGAAGUUUUUCUGGUGCUUGCACUAGAAAAACUUAGCGGCGAACGGGUGAGUAACACGUAAAGAACCUGCCUCAUAGACUGGGACCACUAUUGGAAACGAUAGCUAAUACCGGAUAACAGUAUUUCUCGCAUGAGAGAUAUUUAAAAGUUGGUUAUGCUAACACUAUGAGAUGGCUUUGCGGUGCAUUAGCUAGUUGGUGGGGUAAAGGCCCACCAAGGCGACGAUGCAUAGCCGACCUGAGAGGGUGAUCGGCCACACUGGGACUGAGACACGGCCCAGACUCCUACGGGAGGCAGCAGUAGGGAAUCUUCCGCAAUGGGCGAAAGCCUGACGGAGCAACGCCGCGUGAGUGAAGAAGGAUUUCGGUUCGUAAAGCUCUGUUGUUAGGGAAGAAUGGAUAUGUAGUAACUAUACAUGUAAGAGACGGUACCUAACCAGAAAGCCACGGCUAACUACGUG
This 499-nucleotide ribosomal RNA is filed under the name uncultured bacterium. RNAcentral's name for it is "partial 16S ribosomal RNA". It matches the Rfam family "Bacterial small subunit ribosomal RNA", at positions 28 to 507 of the family's 1533-position model. The record is from RNAcentral.